Molecule: ribosomal RNA, 254 nt
Filed under: uncultured bacterium
Lineage: Bacteria
Description: partial 16S ribosomal RNA
Rfam family: Bacterial small subunit ribosomal RNA
Source: RNAcentral
UACGUAGGGUGCGAGCGUUGUUCGGAAUUAUUGGGCGUAAAGAGCUCGUAGGCGGUCUGUCGCGUCGAUCGUGAAAACUUGGGGCUUAACCCUGAGCUUGCGGUCGAUACGGGCAUGACUGGAGUUCGGCAGGGGAGACUGGAAUUCCUGGUGUAGCGGUGAAAUGCGCAGAUAUCAGGAGGAACACCGGUGGCGAAGGCGGGUCUCUGGGCCGAUACUGACGCUGAGGAGCGAAAGCGUGGGGAGCGAACAGG